RNAcentral lists this small RNA (95 nucleotides) under Pedobacter zeae. RNAcentral describes it as "Flavo-1 RNA". It matches the Rfam family "Flavo-1 RNA". Lineage: Bacteria; Pseudomonadati; Bacteroidota; Sphingobacteriia; Sphingobacteriales; Sphingobacteriaceae. The record is from RNAcentral.
GUUUAAACCCGACAGCAGCGAUACCCUUUUUUGUUAUUGAUCAUUAACAUUUAAGGAUAAUCACAAAAAAGGUAAAGCAUAUGGCGGGACUGCUG